RNAcentral lists this small RNA (96 nucleotides) under Mytilus galloprovincialis (Mediterranean mussel). The record is from RNAcentral. Lineage: Eukaryota; Metazoa; Mollusca; Bivalvia; Mytilida; Mytilidae.
GUUAUACUAACUAUACGUAUAAUGAAAUUAGACAGUCCUUCCUCUAGAUCUUUGAAGGAUUUUGUCUAAUUUCAGUAUACGUAUAGUUGCGGUCAC